GGAGAGAUGUCCGAGUGGCCGAAGGAGCACGCCUGGAAAGCGUGUAUAGGGUGAAAGCUCUGUCAGGGGUUCAAAUCCCCUUCUCUCCGCCA
RNAcentral lists this transfer RNA (92 nucleotides) under Clostridium beijerinckii. RNAcentral's name for it is "tRNA-Ser". It matches the Rfam family "tRNA". Rfam says of the family: Transfer RNA (tRNA) molecules are approximately 80 nucleotides in length. Their secondary structure includes four short double-helical elements and three loops (D, anti-codon, and T loops). Lineage: Bacteria; Bacillati; Bacillota; Clostridia; Eubacteriales; Clostridiaceae. The record is from RNAcentral.